This 204-nucleotide long non-coding RNA is filed under the name Elaeis guineensis (African oil palm). RNAcentral's name for it is "long non-coding RNA (EGUI_LNC053332)". The record is from RNAcentral. Lineage: Eukaryota; Viridiplantae; Streptophyta; Magnoliopsida; Arecales; Arecaceae.
GUCCAAUAUUCCAAAUAGGUAUUGGAGGUGUCACACACCUGAUGUCUAUUACGUAUUAGAAUUAUCAUUCAUUAUAUGACCAUCAUGAUGUACCUUCAGAUCAAUGCUCAGAUUGGUCAAGCCACACUCGAGCCUGGACAUCCAUUUGUUGGAUACACUUGGUGUGUCAUAUUAAUGGUUGAACCUAACCAAGAUUUUCAGUGG